This 497-nucleotide ribosomal RNA is filed under the name uncultured bacterium. RNAcentral's name for it is "partial 16S ribosomal RNA". It matches the Rfam family "Bacterial small subunit ribosomal RNA", at positions 28 to 507 of the family's 1533-position model. The record is from RNAcentral.
GAUGAACGCUGGCGGCGUGCCUAAUACAUGCAAGUCGAGCGAACAGACGAGGAGCUUGCUCCUCUGACGUUAGCGGCGGACGGGUGAGUAACACGUGGAUAACCUACCUAUAAGACUGGGAUAACUUCGGGAAACCGGAGCUAAUACCGGAUAAUAUAUUGAACCGCAAGGUUCACUAGUGAAAGACGGUUUUGCUGUUACCUAUAGAUGGAUCCGCGCCGAAUUAGCUAGUUGGUAAGGUAACGGCUUACCAAGGCAACGAUGCGUAGCCGACCUGAGAGGGUGAUCGGCCACACUGGAACUGAGACACGGUCCAGACUCCUACGGGAGGCAGCAGUAGGGAAUCUUCCGCAAUGGGCGAAAGCCUGACGGAGCAACGCCGCGUGAGUGAUGAAGGUCUUCGGAUCGUAAAACUCUGUUAUUAGGGAAGAACAAAUGUGUAAGUAACUAUGCACGUCUUGACGGUACCUAAUCAGAAAGCCACGGCUAACUACGUG